Macrobrachium nipponense is the source of this 328-nucleotide long non-coding RNA. RefSeq lists it as uncharacterized. The transcript has 2 exons. Lineage: Eukaryota; Metazoa; Arthropoda; Malacostraca; Decapoda; Palaemonidae. The record is from RefSeq and is a predicted model, not a curated record.
CUCAGUAUUCUGUGGACUUUCACAUCGCAAUGGAGCACUAUUAACCCUCAUCUGCUACAGUAGCCUCAAGCCAUCGACACCAACGACAGACGUCGCAUACCAUCAACUGAUGUCUUGUGCUAGCAGUUUUAAGGAUGGAAAUUUCUUGAGUGAGUGGGACGGAAUUGGGGAGGAUUGGGAGAUCUGGUGUCAUCGGUCUUCUUAUACUUGAUAGAAUCCAGUCCAGACAACAAACAAGCAGUUACUGUUCACCUAUUCAGUCAUUUCUAAUAAAUAAGUUUGGAUUUUAGUUGGUCUAUUCAUUCUCCUCCCUAGGAUUUCUGUUCAU